GACGAACGCUGGCGGCGUGCUUAACACAUGCAAGUCGAACGGAAAGGCCCUGCUUUUGUGGGGUGCUCGAGUGGCGAACGGGUGAGUAACACGUGAGUAACCUGCCCUUGACUUUGGGAUAACUUCAGGAAACUGGGGCUAAUACCGGAUAGGAGCUCCUGCUGCAUGGUGGGGGUUGGAAAGUUUCGGCGGUUGGGGAUGGACUCGCGGCUUAUCAGCUUGUUGGUGGGGUAGCGGCUUACCAAGGCUUUGACGGGUAGCCGGCCUGAGAGGGUGACCGGCCACAUUGGGACUGAGAUACGGCCCAGACUCCUACGGGAGGCAGCAGUGGGGAAUAUUGCACAAUGGGCGGAAGCCUGAUGCAGCAACGCCGCGUGCGGGAUGACGGCCUUCGGGUUGUAAACCGCUUUCGCCUGUGACGAAGCGUGAGUGACGGUAAUGGGUAAAGAGGCACCGGCUAACUACGUG
Molecule: ribosomal RNA, 468 nt
Filed under: uncultured bacterium
Lineage: Bacteria
Description: partial 16S ribosomal RNA
Rfam family: Bacterial small subunit ribosomal RNA
Source: RNAcentral